UGCAACAUUUGUGCCACGUGGAAAAAAAGUUUUUUAAUUUUUUUUAAAAAGCUUGAAUUUUCUCAAAAAAGAAAAGAAAAAAGGAAACCCAUCCCAUCUCCCCGCAACCACCCCCCACAAACCCAGAACCCUUUAUCCCCACCCACACCCGUCCAGCUCGUCUUCCCCCUUCUUCUCGACGACCCACCUGAGCCAGAACCCCGACCCUCCUUCCGCCGCACCCCCCACGACCUUCUCCCCACCCAAGAGACCUCAUCCUUCUUUCCUCCCCCCCCCCAGCUCGACUCAACUCCAUGCGUCCGACCUCGCCCAAAACCUAGAUCCCGACCCCUACCAUCUGCAACACCCACCCUCUUCUCCCUCCCCCAUCCGUGCCCUGCUCGUUAGCAAGUCAAUCGGCUCCAACAACAAGGAAGUGCUGAUAUGCUGAUUUUCUGGGAUUUUUUUAUCUUUGUAGGAUUUUUGGUCUUUGAAAUGGGUACGUGUUGUUUUUAAUGUUUUGAUUCUCGUGUGUUCUGUUCUUCAUUGCUUCGUGAUUCUAAUUUUUCACACACAGCAAGUGGAGAUGGAUGUUUGAAUAAAAAGAAGAGUUUGGCCAGGUAAUUCAGUUUUCCAAUAACUGGCAUUUGGUUUUUUUAAAUAUUUAUGCAGGGAGAAAUGAGUUAUAUACUUUGAGUUCCUUACAUUCUCAUUACAUGUUACCCAAUUUAAAAUUGUGACUCACAUGAAAGUGGAUAUCGACAAGAUUUGUGUGUUUUAAAUUGUAGUGUCAUGUUGGCAUUAUUGCUUAUUUAAGAAUGCAAGUCUAUUUUACAUCUAUCUAAUGUCUUUAAUUUUGAUCUCCAUAUUAUUCAAUGUUCACUAAUGCCUUUAAUUGUCCUCUGUUUUACAUCUAUCGAACUGAUGACACCACGUCCACUGCACAAGCCCCAGAGAAAAAUGUAUCAGCUUUUGACUCAAAUUCCAACUAUGCCUCAUCACUCUGAAUACCAAAGCAACCCCAAGUAAUUCUGGAAUCAUUUUUAUCAGUUCCAAAAUACAACAUGUAUAACUCAAUCUCAAAUUUGUUCAUGCACAAACUUCGCAUCAAAUUCAUAGUUUUUUAUUGCUCGAUGUUC
Malus domestica (apple) is the source of this 1118-nucleotide non-coding RNA. Lineage: Eukaryota; Viridiplantae; Streptophyta; Magnoliopsida; Rosales; Rosaceae. The record is from RefSeq and is a predicted model, not a curated record.